GCAGAACGCGAAGAACCUUACCUGGGUUUGACAUGGCCGCAAAACUGUCAGAGAUGGCAGGUCCUUCGGGGGCGGUCACAGGUGGUGCAUGGCUGUCGUCAGCUCGUGUCGUGAGAUGUUGGGUUAAGUCCCGCAACGAGCGCAACCCUCGUUCGAUGUUGCCAGCGCGUUAUGGCGGGGACUCAUCGAAGACUGCCGGGGUCAACUCGGAGGAAGGUGGGGAUGACGUCAAGUCAUCAUGCCCCUUAUGUCCAGGGCUUCACGCAUGCUACAAUGGCCGGUACAAUGGGCUGCGAUACCGUGAGGUGGAGCGAAUCCCAAAAAGCCGGUCUCAGUUCGGAUCGGGGUCUGCAACUCGACCCCAUGAAGUCGGAGUCGCUAGUAAUCGCAGAUCAGCAACGCUGCGGUGAAUACGUUCCCGGGUCUUGUACACACCG
This 437-nucleotide ribosomal RNA is filed under the name uncultured bacterium. RNAcentral's name for it is "bacterial SSU rRNA". It matches the Rfam family "Bacterial small subunit ribosomal RNA", at positions 954 to 1392 of the family's 1533-position model. The record is from RNAcentral.